RNAcentral lists this ribosomal RNA (3044 nucleotides) under Campylobacter jejuni. Its description in RNAcentral is "bacterial LSU rRNA". It matches the Rfam family "Bacterial large subunit ribosomal RNA". The record is from RNAcentral. Lineage: Bacteria; Pseudomonadati; Campylobacterota; Epsilonproteobacteria; Campylobacterales; Campylobacteraceae.
CUAAGAGCGAAUGGUGGAUGCCUUGACUGGUAAAGGCGAUGAAGGACGUACUAGACUGCGAUAAGCUACGGGGAGCUGUCAAGAAGCUUUGAUCCGUAGAUUUCCGAAUGGGGCAACCCAAUGUAUAGAGAUAUACAUUACCUAUAUAGGAGCGAACGAGGGGAAUUGAAACAUCUUAGUACCCUCAGGAAAAGAAAUCAAUAGAGAUUGCGUCAGUAGCGGCGAGCGAAAGCGCAAGAGGGCAAACCCAGUGCUUGCACUGGGGGUUGUAGGACUGCAAUGUGCAAGAGGUAAGUUUAGCAGAACAUUCUGGAAAGUAUAACCAUAGAGGGUGAUAGUCCCGUAUGCGAAAAACAAACCUUAGCUAGCAGUAUCCUGAGUAGGGCGGGACACGAGGAAUCCUGUCUGAAUCCGGGUCGACCACGAUCCAACCCUAAAUACUAAUACCAGAUCGAUAGUGCACAAGUACCGUGAGGGAAAGGUGAAAAGAACUGAGGUGAUCAGAGUGAAAUAGAACCUGAAACCAUUUGCUUACAAUCAUUCAGAGCCCUAUGUAGCAAUACAGGGUGAUGGACUGCCUUUUGCAUAAUGAGCCUGCGAGUUGUGGUGUCUGGCAAGGUUAAGCAAACGCGAAGCCGUAGCGAAAGCGAGUCUGAAUAGGGCGCUUAGUCAGAUGCUGCAGACCCGAAACGAAGUGAUCUAUCCAUGAGCAAGUUGAAGCUAGUGUAAGAACUAGUGGAGGACUGAACCCAUAGGCGUUGAAAAGCCCCGGGAUGACUUGUGGAUAGGGGUGAAAGGCCAAUCAAACUUCGUGAUAGCUGGUUCUCUCCGAAAUAUAUUUAGGUAUAGCGUUGUGUCGUAAUAUAAGGGGGUAGAGCACUGAAUGGGCUAGGGCAUACACCAAUGUACCAAACCCUAUCAAACUCCGAAUACCUUAUAUGUAAUCACAGCAGUCAGGCGGCGAGUGAUAAAAUCCGUCGUCAAGAGGGAAACAACCCAGACUACCAGCUAAGGUCCCUAAAUCUUACUUAAGUGGAAAACGAUGUGAAGUUACUUAAACAACCAGGAGGUUGGCUUAGAAGCAGCCAUCCUUUAAAGAAAGCGUAAUAGCUCACUGGUCUAGUGAUUUUGCGCGGAAAAUAUAACGGGGCUAAAGUAAGUACCGAAGCUGUAGACUUGCACACAACUUAGAUUAUUUAAGUUUAGAAUAUGAGAAACUAAGUUAUAUGUUUAGUUAUAUUUUUACUGAUUUUUAUAGAGUAAAGAUAGAAAUAAAACUUAGUAAAAUCAGUAAAAAUAUUCUUAGACUAAAGUUAAGUAGUUUAAGUUGUGUGCAAGUGGUAGGAGAGCGUUCUAUUUGCGUCGAAGGUAUACCGGUAAGGAGUGCUGGAGCGAAUAGAAGUGAGCAUGCAGGCAUGAGUAGCGAUAAUUAAUGUGAGAAUCAUUAACGCCGUAAACCCAAGGUUUCCUACGCGAUGCUCGUCAUCGUAGGGUUAGUCGGGUCCUAAGUCGAGUCCGAAAGGGGUAGACGAUGGCAAAUUGGUUAAUAUUCCAAUACCAACAUUAGUGUGCGAUGGAAGGACGCUUAGGGCUAAGGGGGCUAGCGGAUGGAAGUGCUAGUCUAAGGUCGUAGGAGGUUAUACAGGCAAAUCCGUAUAACAAUACUCCGAGAACUGAAAGGCUUUUUGAAGUCUUCGGAUGGAUAGAAGAACCCCUGAUGCCGUCGAGCCAAGAAAAGUUUCUAAGUUUAGCUAAUGUUGCCCGUACCGUAAACCGACACAGGUGGGUGGGAUGAGUAUUCUAAGGCGCGUGGAAGAACUCUCUUUAAGGAACUCUGCAAAAUAGCACCGUAUCUUCGGUAUAAGGUGUGGUUAGCUUUGUAUUAGGAUUUACUCCGAAAGCAAGGAAACUUACAACAAAGAGUCCCUCCCGACUGUUUACCAAAAACACAGCACUCUGCUAACUCGUAAGAGGAUGUAUAGGGUGUGACGCCUGCCCGGUGCUCGAAGGUUAAUUGAUGGGGUUAGCAUUAGCGAAGCUCUUGAUCGAAGCCCGAGUAAACGGCGGCCGUAACUAUAACGGUCCUAAGGUAGCGAAAUUCCUUGUCGGUUAAAUACCGACCUGCAUGAAUGGCGUAACGAGAUGGGAGCUGUCUCAAAGAGGGAUCCAGUGAAAUUGUAGUGGAGGUGAAAAUUCCUCCUACCCGCGGCAAGACGGAAAGACCCCGUGGACCUUUACUACAGCUUGACACUGCUACUUGGAUAAGAAUGUGCAGGAUAGGUGGGAGGCUUUGAGUAUAUGACGCCAGUUGUAUAUGAGCCAUUGUUGAGAUACCACUCUUUCUUAUUUGGGUAGCUAACCAGCUUGAGUUAUCCUCAAGUGGGACAAUGUCUGGUGGGUAGUUUGACUGGGGCGGUCGCCUCCCAAAUAAUAACGGAGGCUUACAAAGGUUGGCUCAGAACGGUUGGAAAUCGUUCGUAGAGUAUAAAGGUAUAAGCCAGCUUAACUGCAAGACAUACAAGUCAAGCAGAGACGAAAGUCGGUCUUAGUGAUCCGGUGGUUCUGUGUGGAAGGGCCAUCGCUCAAAGGAUAAAAGGUACCCCGGGGAUAACAGGCUGAUCUCCCCCAAGAGCUCACAUCGACGGGGAGGUUUGGCACCUCGAUGUCGGCUCAUCGCAUCCUGGGGCUGGAGCAGGUCCCAAGGGUAUGGCUGUUCGCCAUUUAAAGCGGUACGCGAGCUGGGUUCAGAACGUCGUGAGACAGUUCGGUCCCUAUCUGCCGUGGGCGUAAGAAGAUUGAAGAGAUUUGACCCUAGUACGAGAGGACCGGGUUGAACAAACCACUGGUGUAGCUGUUGUUCUGCCAAGAGCAUCGCAGCGUAGCUAAGUUUGGAAAGGAUAAACGCUGAAAGCAUCUAAGCGUGAAGCCAACUCUAAGAUGAAUCUUCUCUAAGCUCUCUAGAAGACUACUAGUUUGAUAGGCUGGGUGUGUAAUGGAUGAAAGUCCUUUAGCUGACCAGUACUAAUAGAGCGUUUGGCUUAUCU